GUGCUUGCUUCUGCAGCACAUAUGUUAAAACUGGAGUGAUACAGAGAAGAUGGUUGUUGCCCUUUCAUAAGAAUGGCAUACAGAUUCAUGAAGCAUUCCAUAUUUUU
Lemur catta (Ring-tailed lemur) is the source of this 107-nucleotide small nuclear RNA. Lineage: Eukaryota; Metazoa; Chordata; Mammalia; Primates; Lemuridae. The record is from RefSeq and is a predicted model, not a curated record.